Molecule: long non-coding RNA, 5781 nt
Organism: Amphiprion ocellaris (clown anemonefish)
Lineage: Eukaryota; Metazoa; Chordata; Actinopteri; Pomacentridae
Exons: 3
Source: RefSeq, a predicted model, not a curated record
AUUAAGAAGUGGGCUGGACUUUUAUGUAUGCGGCUGCUCAGACUGACGUUGUCAAAGCUGGUAGAAAAACGCAUAAAUUUAAUAUGUGCAACAAAACAGGGCAGCGUUAUUAUUGUUUGGUGGCACCAAAGUAAUGUUUUGGCAAAAGUUCAGAAGACUGCAAAGUUAGGCCAGUCUGUAUAAAUGUAUACAACAGAAGAAAAUGUAACCUUUGAUGAUGUUUCCCUUUAGCUGUUCAAUCACUCAAUGUCCAACAGAGGUUUUAAUUACAGUUUAUGUUUUCAUUUAAUUUCCUAACUGGUAGCACAGCACGUCACAGGCUUUUUACCUGACAGUUGAUGAGGUUUAUAAAAAUAACACUAUGCUUUUAGUUGUAUGUUAUAGUCCUAUCAUUAGGACAAAAAAUCGCUGAGUUAAAGUUUGCAAGACAUAGUGGCUUUGAUAUGCAGCUGUGAAAGUGUCACCUUGCUACAGGCGUCUUUUCAGCAGUGAACUGUGCAAGAAUUCAGUCUAAGUUUGAUCAGUGAUGAAGAACCACAAAUGUGAUGUUUCCAGUCCAUGUGUGAUCAGCUCUUCCAAAUAAAAUGACUGAAUUGGUAAUUAUUGUCACUCUCAGGUAAACUAUCAUUCACAGUGCACUACUGAGCAUGUUAUCAGGAACAACUGUACAGCUGCUUAUUUAUGCAGCUAUCCAAUCAGCCAAUCAUGUGGGAGCAGUGUAAUACAUAAAAUCCAGCAGAUACAGAUCAGGAGCUUACAUGGAACAUGACCGGUGUUUUAGGCCAAUGUUGACCAUAUCUUCCUAACCAGAUCCAGUCAUUUAGACUUCGACUUUAGUUUUUUUCUAACUGCAAUAUAUUAUUAGUGUUACAGAAAGUUGCAGCACCACAAUUUUCGUUUACAUUUACUCCCCCAUGAGAUCACAUAAGGUGGCACUCUGCUCCCUGAUUUCUCUGUCUGGCACAAUCAUAUUUAAUAAUGUCCUACAAUGUGUGAUGUGCCAUUAGUUUCAAACACUGUAGUGUCUGAGAUUAGAGGGAAAAAUGUUUGUGAUGCAACCCUGAUUUCAAAAUGUGUUUUAACAUUUGACAUUCCCAGAGGUCCUGUGUCUGUACAACAACAGGUCAGAGAUAUUUUGGUGACAUGAGAGGAACCUUCACCAUAUUCGGCAGUUAGCUUUAAUGCCGUGGCUGAUCAGUGUAUGAAUGCAAUCAUCAGCCUUUUUAAAAUGCAUUGUCUUUAUUUCUGACAUGAAGCACAUUGACUUCACAAUGAAUUCAAUUUCCACAGUGAUGUUCUACAGAAGCAUCUAUCCAAAAACGCAUGUUGAUACAUUUUAAGUCAUCCAGUAUUCACUGCUUCAGUUCAGACUUUCUUCUUUCAAAGCUUCGAGCUAACAGGCCUCAUGAUUUCCACCUCAGCUGUCCUCAGACCACACUGUUGUCUCUUCCUGUCUAACCAGUGAUGUGUUCUCUCUCCUCCACUUGCUGCUCACUCUGACUCUCACUAUCAGACACUCUGGACACACACAGAUGUUCUUAUUCUUCAACACAAAUCACAUUUUUCAGACAGUGAAGGACGUUCACUGCAAAAUGGCGUCGUUCUGACAAUUGCAAUGGUAACAACCCCAACCACAAGACUCAGACAGGCAGCAGACUGAGGAGGCAUCAGUUUCAUUCUCAGCUGCAGUGGAGUUUAUCUGGUGGCAGCAUACACAACAUUUGACUCCAUCUCUCUUCUUCUUCCUCUUUUAGCAAAUGUCACUGUUGGAUAGUUCAAGUCAUCAGAGUCUAGAUACUGUAAAUGACAACGUUAAAUUAAAAAUUACAUUUUUAGUUUGCCAUUGGACAUAGUUUGACAGCAAAACUUUUAGUCAAUGGAAUAAAAGUACAGUUUGACAUGGUGCUAAAUCAUGUUUAUAGAAUGAAGUAUUGAAACUGUAUUCACCUUGCUUACUGAAGGGUCUGUGUCUUCAUCUGAAAUCUAGAACAUACUUUCUAAUUCCCCGGAUGUGUACUCGGAGCCUGCAAUGGGCAGCUGAUCAAGGUCCUCACUGAUAUUUUCAGCGAGCCACUGGAACAAGCAUAUGUCCCUACAUGAUUUAAAACCACCUCCAUCGUGCAUGGAGGUGGAUGACAUCACACAUGACAGGCAUUUCACAUGUGAUUUGGACUCUUGAAUGUGGACACACUGCUCCUUUUAAAUGGGUAUGUGUUUGCUUUACCCUGUAGUCAAGUGGGUGGAAGGCAAUGCAACAUGUAUUUUUAUUCAUUAUAUUGCUUAAGUCACACCUGUAACAUAUCAUUCCACUGACUAUACAUCUAAUAUUCAGAUUUGAUUUAAGUAUACUGUAAGUUUUUCCAAACCUUGCAUUCAACUCUCGAGACUUUGAAUUUUCUCAGCCAGUAUUUCCUGCUUUCCUUCACGUUUUAAUUUUAGAAACCUUUGAUCUGACAGGCCUCGUGAUCUUCACAUUAGACCACAGUGUGUUGCCUCUUCCUGUCAAACAGUCGACGUGCACAUCACUCACUCUUGCACUGCUGCAGACCAAAAUCUAACUGACUGGUUGAGACUCUGGUCAAUCAUCACUGAUCUCAUUGGCUCAUCGCACAUCAAACACUAGUCACAGAGAGACAGUGUGGGUGAAAAGCCAACGAGAACAACCGCGAUGAUCUUCCAAAAGUACAAACACAAGAGCAGAUUAGUAUGAUUCAGUCAUCUGGUUCACUAUGAGCCUCUCUAAGGUUAUCUGCUGGUUGUAUUUUUACUGAGUCUGCACUUUUUCUCUGGUGAGGCCUCCUGCUUCUUAUUGUUGUUGAAUGCACAUGCAGUGGUGCAUCACAUCAGUUAACCAGGUUUGAAAUUACACAAGUUUUAAUAUUUAAUUAGUGCCUUACAGUGACUUCUGUGCAAACGUGCUGUCCAAUAAUAGUUUGAAAAAUUACUUGAGGCCGACAUUGUGUUUAAUCACCUGUUUUCUUGAGAGCAUUUCUGUCAUUGCGGCAAGAUAAGCGACUUGCAAAAAAAAAAAAGAAAACCAAUAAAACACUCCGCCCCUUUAAAUGAUCGUGUCUCUGCGGAAGAACAGUUCAAUAGCGGAGAUCGCUGCAGUCAGACACACCAUGAAGAACUUUACCUUGAUACCAGCUUUAUUUCUCUGCAGCUUUGGUGAGUAUCGACACUGAAUUACUCUCAACUUUAUUUAGAAUUUUAGUCACUCCAGUCCAUGAGGAUAUAGAGUUUUAAAAGUUUGUAGAAAGGAAGCCUUCAUGCUCCUUUUGUUUGUGUGAGUGCUUUGGUAUCUUAUUUAGUUGAUGUAAAUUUUAGUGAACAUAGAAGUAAAUAACCUCCUCUUGCAUUAAUUCCUGAUUAGUGUUAUCUGUUUCAGCUUCAGCAGCUGAGAAAUAAAUCUCUUUACUGUUUGUUUCAGGCUGGAUUUUCCUGUCAGUUACUGAGUCUCGGAUGGUUGAGGUCCAGCCUGGUGAAGAUGUCACUCUGCUGUGCUCCAACUUUUCCAGUUCUCCUUCUCAGAUAAUCUGGUUUAGACUCGUCAGUAGAACCUAUCCCCGGUGUAUUUCAUCCAUUUUCAGUUCCACUCAGCCUGCUUCAUUCUGCAGUGGAGUGGAACCCGACAGAUUUGGACUGACAUCCAACAGCUCCACUCUCUUCUUCAAAAUCAGACGUGUGGAUUAUUCUGACUCUGGGUUUUAUUUUUGUGGAUUUUACUAUAAAACACACCCAGUAAUUGUAAACUCAACAUACUUAAAGGUUCCAGAAGAAUCUGACAGAACAGCACAUCUGAUGAGUUUUAUCCUGGCUGGUCUGACUGUUCUGCUUCUAAUGGUCAUCGUUGGUCUGAUUGUUCAAAACAGAAGACUUAACAGAAUCUUGACUGAUGACCUGAACUACACUACAGUGACAUUUCGAACAGAAAUGAACAGAAGAGAGCCGGAGGUUAUUUAUUCUGCCACCAGAUAAACUGAUGCUGUAUCUUAUGAAUAUACUUUGAGGCUUGGCAUGACUUUUUGUGAGAAAAAAUGAGUUUUCCAAUAAAAAUCUGACAUUGAUUGUUUUUUGGGUUGUUGUCUCUGUCAAAGUCUUUAAUCAUAUUUAUCUUUGGAUAAGUGUUUUAGAAAGGAGGAGCUGCGAAGGACUGCCCAGAUUGUCUCAUAGUGAGGUACACAAUGAGAAGCGAGUGAUGUAAACAUUUUAUUUAUUGACAGGAAGAGACAGCACAGACUCUAAACACAAGUAGAAAGGUAAAGGUAAGAGUCAUGACGGCUGUUAACUACAAUCUUUCUGGUAAUAGAAUCUAAAGGAAAGGAAGCAGUGGACGCUGACAGACUCUGUAGUAGCAAAAACAAUACAAGCCUUCACAUCUCUGUGAAAGUUUAGUACAUUAUUAUAGAAACUUGUCAUCAAAAGUAGGGCUUGUGACCUAUGGCAGGAGCACUUGUAUGAUUUCUCUAUGCACCUUAAAUAGAAACGGAGUAGAAAACAUCACAUUCUGUGUCAGUCAGAAACCUGGAAGGAGCCAAUGCUCAUGUCGAGGUUCACUGAUGAUGAACAGUGGGUCUGCUGCUACCACUGAGAGAAGAUGGUCACAUCAUGAGCAUGCUCAUUGUUUCGUCAAAUUUUAACAGGUUGCAGGCUGAGAAUUCACAACCCAGGGUCAGACUGUCAAGACACAGUUCUACUGUAGCAUCCUGAGAUGUCUGAGGGAGAACAUUUUGUGCAAAUGACCUAAACUAGCAUGAGGUGAUGUGAGCGCCACAACACAAUUCUCUUUCCCCUUCCCUAAAAUGCAAUUAAUGUUGAAUGAUUGUAUAUUUGACAGUUUGAGAGUUUCAGUGCCUAUUUCAAAUCGACACCCUCUUAAAAUAAUGGCCAAAGUAAUUUUUCAGGUUUUUCAGGAAACACAAAAAACUGAACCACACCACACUGAACCUUGACUUAGACCGUUAUACUGUGGGGGUAGAAUCGCAUGAUCUGUUCAACGGAGGAUGUAGACGAUUUUACCAGAGGUGGCCAGUAUCAUGAGGAGAUGAUUUAGGCAAAAAAAAAAAACACCAACAAAAAAAACUUUGGUAAAAAAAAUGAUAAAGGCCAUUAUUUUAGGAAGGUGAUGAAAUGGUACUUGACAUUUUUAAAGAACAGGACUUCCAGGUAGUGCUGGAGUGCUAGGAGCACCGUAUUGCUACUUCAAUGAGUAUGGUAACCAGAUUUAAAUCAGGUCCUGCUUUUGAUGUUUAUAAGCACAGUGCAGUAUUGGAAUUUUUUGAUCGCUACUUGUAAAGUGGACUUAAAUGGAUUUCACUGUAAGCUGUCUACGGAUUUUAUCGAGACGGACAAAGAAAAUUCAGUCAGAUGAAUCUACUUGUUUGAGAAAGAUGGUGAACAUGUAGGAUGGCAUUUAAAGUUGUCUAUUUUGAAAUCCUUCACCGUAGGAAGCACUGUUAUUUGAGUUAGAGACAGUACUGCUGUCCUUGCUUCAAUUGACCACUCUUGACCAGAAUGACAUUGUUGCAGUACAGCAGUGUAACUUCUUGACCAGACUGGACUUCCACAAUCUUAGACUAAGAACCUGAGACAGAGAUCCAUGACUAUUGUUAAUAUUAGCAAGAGAGUGGUUCCAUUCUAGUACUUACUGUGGCUGAAACUGCUCACAAGGUAAAGUUCAACACCGUAUGUAAAACUCUAAAAGCUCUUUAACUGAAUUGUACUCCAAGGUGGGGUGCUAUUUUGUGGCCUAUCCAGUUCCUCACACUUACCACAUGAGAG